RNAcentral lists this long non-coding RNA (1721 nucleotides) under Canis lupus familiaris (dog). RNAcentral describes it as "lncRNA (ENSCAFG00000054591.1)". The record is from RNAcentral. Lineage: Eukaryota; Metazoa; Chordata; Mammalia; Carnivora; Canidae.
AGGAGCCGCCCUGGAUGGACAGAGGGACGGAGGGACGCGCAUCCAGCCGGUCGCGUCCAGCUGCCUGCAGCAGUCUCCGACACUCGCUGCUGCCUGCCCGCUGUCCGCCUGCCUGGCAUCUCUCGAUCCCGGUGGGUCCCCACUCGUCCUUCCAUCCCUUGGUUCCUCCUCUUCGAGGGAAGGACUUCCCUGCUCCCCGUGGUGUCUGUGAUUUGGCCUGAGACCCCCUGGGGCGGGAGGGGUGGCUGUGGAGGGAGAGGGCCCAGGGUAAGAAGCCCGGCCGUGGGGUCCCACAGCGCCCCUCUCCGGCUCCCCGCCUUCUCCCUCACCCUCCUUGGCCCAGCUGUGCCAGGAUGGGGGUGGGGGUGGCAGUGGGCACUCUUGGUCUGCAGAGAAGCUACGCUGGACAGAGUGGGGGGGCCUCUCUCUUCCCCUCCCUCUGUCUCUCUCUCCUCCUGUUUCCUCAGUGCUGGGCUUGGGCUUUCUGCUGAGAGGUGCUGGAUGAGGCAGGUCAGCCUUCAGGGGUGUGGGGAAGGGCUGCCAGAUGCCUAGAGCUGUGGGCACAGGGAGGGGAGAAGGGGGGACCUUUGCUGCGACCACCCCCACGCUGGCCAAUGUGAUCCUUUCCAUCCCAUCUCAGGCCCUGGGGGCCCCAGCUUCUUCCAGCAGAGAGGGCAAAGGCCCCAGCCAUCCCUGGAGAGCUGGGAGUUUGGGGGGAGGGGUGCUGGAUGAAGACACCCUGGCCUCUGCCCUUGGCAGAACAGCCACACCCCCAUCCAGUCUGCCCACCCUCACUGAGGUGUGGCAGCCUGUGGACUCCCUGGCCUGCCCUCUCUUCCCAGCAGAGAGGGGCCCACGGUGGAAGUGUGAGGGUAGAGAGCCAGGCUUCCUUGCCUAGGGGAGCCUUUCAGGAGCUGCAGGCUUUUCCUGGGACCCCCCCCCCCCCCCCCCCCCCCCUUUGGGGUCCAUUGUGCUGGGGGCCUUACUGCUCAGGUGGCCCUGACAGGGAAUGACGGCCCCUGGCAGUCAGAUGUAAAGCCCACUGAGGACCCCAACUGGCAGAGCUGCUUCUGUCAGCAGUGACCCUUAACCCCUUAGCUCCCCCAGUCUUCCUCCUGGGGCACUGGGUCUGCUUUGUGGAGGGCUCCGCCCUUGGUUCCCUGCCCUGGGUCUCAGUCGCUUAUCUGUCACCUGGGCAGUGACCCCCCGUGCCUCCCUGCCUGCCUCCCAGAACACACGGAGCUGAGAUGGGGAAAUCUGCUCUUCUGUGGAGCAGGGACUGUGCAAGGGUGAGGGGUGGUGCUGGUCAAGUUGAGCCUCUGUCCCGGCCUCAGUUUCCCAGGUGGGCAUGAGAUUCUCUCCCUGACUGGGGACCAGAUGAGGGGACACUGGGUAAGCGCUUACCACCUGGAGGCACCUGCCUGCUCUAAGCUGUCACUCCCCCAUUUCCUCAGGCCUGGGGCCUUCUCUCAGUGCUUCAGACACUCACUAUCCACCUCCAGGGCCCUGGGGGCUUCAUCCCUACCUGCUGGUAUGUGCUGGGGUUGGUGGGGCAGCACUUUUCAGCAUAAAGAUAUGCAGAGCACUGGUUCCCAUUCUUCGCAGGGAUGGGGCCUGCGAGUCUGCCUUUCUCACCAGCAACUAAGCAGGUAUCUAGAGGAUUGGUUCUAAUUCUUGCUGAACUUUAGAAUCAUGUGUGAAGUUUAAAAAAAAAAAAAAAA